UGAUGUCAUCACUGCAGCUUGUAUGGUGAUCCUCUGUGUUCACAGGUCCAGCUGAUGUCAUCACUGCAGCUUGUAUGGUGAUCCUCUGUGUUCACAGGUCCAGCUGAUGUCAUCACUGCAGCUUGUAUGGUGAUCCUCUGUGUUCACAGGUCCAGCUGAUGUCAUCACUGCAGCUUGUAUGGUGAUCCUCUGUGUUCACAGGUCCAGCUGAUGUCAUCACUGCAGCUUGUAUGGUGAUCCUCUGUGUUCACAGGUCCAGCU
This is a long non-coding RNA of Acomys russatus (golden spiny mouse), 261 nucleotides long. RefSeq lists it as uncharacterized. The record is from RefSeq and is a predicted model, not a curated record. The transcript is spliced from 4 exons. NCBI's taxonomy places the organism in Eukaryota, Metazoa, Chordata, Mammalia, Rodentia, Muridae.